CAGGAUAUUGCCCUAGUAACGGCGAGUGAAGCGGCAAAAGCUCAAAUUUGAAAUCCGUCAUUUGAUGGAGUCUGUAAUUUGAAGAUAAUUUUUCUGGGAGUGGCCUUGCUCAAGUUCUCUGGAAUGAGACGUCAUGGAGGGUGAGAAUCCCGUGAUGCGAGGGUACCACUACUAUGUAGAGGAUUAUCGACGAGUCGAGUUGUUUGGGAAUGCAGCUCAAAGUGGGUGGUAAAUUCCAUCUAAAGCUAAAUAUUGGCGAGAGACCGAUAGCGAACAAGUACUGUGAAGGAAAGAUGAAAAGAACUUUGAAAAGAGAGUGAAAUAGUACGUGAAAUUGUUGAAGUGGAAGGGUUUAAAGUUAGACAUGGCAGUUUACGCUCCACAAUCCUUUGGGACUGUGUACUCGUUUUCUGCCGGGCCAACAUCAGUUUCGGUGGAUGUACAAAAGCUUGGGAACGUAGCAACUUGUUGUAUUAUAGCCCUUGCUAAUGCUUCCUACCGGGACUGAGGACCGCGCAUUUGCUAGGAUGUUGGCGUAAUG
RNAcentral lists this ribosomal RNA (541 nucleotides) under Wickerhamiella domercqiae. RNAcentral describes it as "partial large subunit ribosomal RNA". It matches the Rfam family "Eukaryotic large subunit ribosomal RNA", at positions 70 to 636 of the family's 3401-position model. The record is from RNAcentral. Lineage: Eukaryota; Fungi; Ascomycota; Dipodascomycetes; Dipodascales; Trichomonascaceae.